This 73-nucleotide transfer RNA is filed under the name Pelecanus crispus (Dalmatian pelican). It matches the Rfam family "tRNA". From Rfam's summary of the family: Transfer RNA (tRNA) molecules are approximately 80 nucleotides in length. Their secondary structure includes four short double-helical elements and three loops (D, anti-codon, and T loops). Lineage: Eukaryota; Metazoa; Chordata; Aves; Pelecaniformes; Pelecanidae. The record is from Rfam by way of RNAcentral.
GCCGGGUUAGCUCAGUUGGUUGAGCGUGGUGCUAAGAAUGCCAGGGUCGCAGGUUCGAUCCCUGCUCACGGCA